This 399-nucleotide ribosomal RNA is filed under the name uncultured archaeon. Its description in RNAcentral is "bacterial SSU rRNA". It matches the Rfam family "Archaeal small subunit ribosomal RNA", at positions 460 to 859 of the family's 1478-position model. The record is from RNAcentral.
AGCCGCCGCGGUAAUACCAGCACCCCGAGUGGUCGGGACGAUUAUUGGGCCUAAAGCAUCCGUAGCCGGUUUUACAAGUCCUCCGUUAAAUCCAACUGCUUAACAGAUGGGCCGCGGAGGAUACUAUAAGACUAGGAGGCAGGAGAGGCAAGCGGUACUCAGUGGGUAGGGGUAAAAUCCGUUGAUCCAUUGAAGACCACCAGUGGCGAAGGCGGCUUGCCAGAAUGCGCUCGACGGUGAGGGAUGAAAGCUGGGGGAGCAAACCGGAUUAGAUACCCGGGUAGUCCCAGCUGUAAACGAUGCAGACUCGGUGAUGGACUAGCUUCAUGCUAGUCCAGUGCCGCAGGGAAGCCGUUAAGUCUGCCGCCUGGGUAGUACGGUCGCAAGACUGAAACUUAA